Molecule: ribosomal RNA, 253 nt
Filed under: uncultured bacterium
Lineage: Bacteria
Description: partial 16S ribosomal RNA
Rfam family: Bacterial small subunit ribosomal RNA
Source: RNAcentral
UACGAAGGGGGCUAGCGUUGCUCGGAAUCACUGGGCGUAAAGCGCACGUAGGCGGAUCUUUAAGUCAGGGGUGAAAUCCCAAGGCUCAACCUUGGAACUGCCUUUGAUACUGGGGAUCUCGAGUCCGGAAGAGGUUGGUGGAACUGCGAGUGUAGAGGUGAAAUUCGUAGAUAUUCGGAAGAACACCAGUGGCGAAGGCGGCUUACUGGUCCGGUACUGACGCUGAGACACGAAAGCCAGGGGAGCAAACGGG